RNAcentral lists this ribosomal RNA (253 nucleotides) under uncultured bacterium. Its description in RNAcentral is "partial 16S ribosomal RNA". It matches the Rfam family "Bacterial small subunit ribosomal RNA", at positions 524 to 776 of the family's 1533-position model. The record is from RNAcentral.
UACGUAGGGGGCUAGCGUUGUCCGGAAUCAUUGGGCCUAAAGCAUCCGUAGCCGGUUUUACAAGUCCUCCGUUAAAUCCAGCUGCUUAACAGAUGGGCUGCGGAGGAUACUAUAAGACUAGGAGGCAGGAGAGGCAAGCGGUACUCAGUGGGUAGGGGUAAAAUCCGUUGAUCCAUUGAAGACCACCAGUGGCGAAGGCGGCUUGCCAGAAUGCGCUCGACGGUGAGGGAUGAAAGCUGGGGGAGCAAACCGG